GCUUUUUCUUUCACCGGAGCUUGCUCCACCGAAAGAAAAAGAGUGGCGAACGGGUGAGUAACACGUGGGUAACCUGCCCAUCAGAAGGGGAUAACACUUGGAAACAGGUGCUAAUACCGUAUAACACUAUUUUCCGCAUGGAAGAAAGUUGAAAGGCGCUUUUGCGUCACUGAUGGAUGGACCCGCGGUGCAUUAGCUAGUUGGUGAGGUAACGGCUCACCAAGGCAACGAUGCAUAGCCGACCUGAGAGGGUGAUCGGCCACACUGGGACUGAGACACGGCCCAGACUCCUACGGGAGGCAGCAGUAGGGAAUCUUCGGCAAUGGACGAAAGUCUGACCGAGCAACGCCGCGUGAGUGAAGAAGGUUUUCGGAUCGUAAAACUCUGUUGUUAGAGAAGAACAAGGAUGAGAGUAGAACGUUCAUCCCUUGACGGUAUCUAACCAGAAAGCCACGGCUAACUACGUGCCAGCAGCCGCGGUAAUACGUAGGUGGCAAGCGUUGUCCGGAUUUAUUGGGCGUAAAGCGAGCGCAGGCGGUUUCUUAAGUCUGAUGUGAAAGCCCCCGGCUCAACCGGGGAGGGUCAUUGGAAACUGGGAGACUUGAGUGCAGAAGAGGAGAGUGGAAUUCCAUGUGUAGCGGUGAAAUG
Molecule: ribosomal RNA, 648 nt
Filed under: Enterococcus casseliflavus
Lineage: Bacteria; Bacillati; Bacillota; Bacilli; Lactobacillales; Enterococcaceae
Description: bacterial SSU rRNA
Rfam family: Bacterial small subunit ribosomal RNA
Source: RNAcentral